UAGGGAAUAUUGGACAAUGGGCGCAAGCCUGAUCCAGCCAUGCCGCGUGAGUGAAGAAGGCCCUCGGGUUGUAAAGCUCUUUUGUCCGGAAAGAAAAGCUUUGGGUUAAUACCCCGAAGUCCUGACGGUACCGGAAGAAUAAGCACCGGCUAACUUCGUGCCAGCAGCCGCGGUAAUACGAAGGGUGCAAGCGUUACUCGGAAUUACUGGGCGUAAAGCGUGCGUAGGUGGUUCGUUAAGUCUGAUGUGAAAGCCCUGGGCUCAACCUGGGAAUGGCAUUGGAUACUGGCGGGCUAGAGUGCGGUAGAGGGCAGUGGAAUUCCCGGUGUAGCAGUGAAAUGCGUAGAGAUCGGGAGGAACAUCUGUGGCGAAGGCGACUGCCUGAACAAGCACUGACACUGAGGCACGAAAGCGUGGGGAGCAAACAGG
This 429-nucleotide ribosomal RNA is filed under the name Bacillota bacterium. Its description in RNAcentral is "Firmicutes bacterium partial 16S ribosomal RNA". It matches the Rfam family "Bacterial small subunit ribosomal RNA", at positions 355 to 776 of the family's 1533-position model. Lineage: Bacteria; Bacillati; Bacillota. The record is from RNAcentral.